CACUUUGCUUCUUGCUGUACAGACUGCUGCCACGCCGGCUGGCUAGGUCACUCUACAUAUCUUCUUCCAGGCCCCUUCCAGGUCCGUUUCAGGUCCUGUUCCUACUCCCCACCACCUAUCCUGAGGGUAUUCAUUGGCCUCAUCUAGAAACUUGAAAAGGCAGUGGGAUAGAAAAUCUUUUUUUUUCUGAGACAGGGUUUCUCUGUGGCUUUUGGAGGCUGUCCUGGAACAAGCUCUGUAGACCAAGCUGGUCUCGAACUCACAGAGAUCCAUCUGCCUCUGCCUCCCGAGUGCUGAGAUUAAAGGCAUGAGCCAUUCAGGAAGAAAAACAUGGAUGUGGUCCAACCAGUAAGACUCUUGUGAUGGUUAGUUUUUGUUUAUCAACUUAGAAUCACUGAGGAAACACACUGCUGGGAAUGUAUACAAUGUUUCCAGAAAGGUUUAACUGAGGAGGGAAGAUUGACUUUGAACGUGAGUGGCACCAUCUCCUAGGCUGAGGUACAGGCACUGAAGAAGGAGAAAGGGAGCUGAGAGCCAGCAUGCCUCACUCUCUGCUUCAUGACAACAGAUGCAAUGUGAUCAGCUGCCUCAUGCUCCUGCCACCAUGUCUGUAUGGACUGUGUUCUCAAACUGUGAGCCAAAAUAUAUCCUCUUUUCCUUGAGUUGCUUUAUAAGAUAUUUUGUCACAGAAAUGAGAAAAGUAACUAAGACAACUAUCAUAAUAAAAU
RNAcentral lists this long non-coding RNA (728 nucleotides) under Cricetulus griseus (Chinese hamster). Its description in RNAcentral is "lncRNA (ENSCGRG00015038443.1)". The record is from RNAcentral. Lineage: Eukaryota; Metazoa; Chordata; Mammalia; Rodentia; Cricetidae.